UCAGGAUGAACGCUAGCGGCAGGCUUAACACAUGCAAGUCGAGGGGCAUCGGGAGUAGCAAUACUUGCCGGCGACCGGCGCAAGGGUGCGUAACGCGUGAGCAACAUGCCCGUAUCAGGGGGAUAAUCCAUGGAAACGUGGUCUAAUACCCCAUAGUAAUUAUGUAAGGCAUCUUAUAUAAUUUAAAGCUUUGGUGGAUACGGAUUGGCUCGCGUGACAUUAGCUGGAUGGUAAGGUAACGGCUUACCAUGGCUACGAUGUCUAGGGGUUCUGAGAGGAAGGUCCCCCCACACUGGAACUGAGACACGGUCCAGACUCCUACGGGAGGCAGCAGUGAGGAAUAUUGGACAAUGGAUGGAAAUCUGAUCCAGCCAUGCCGCGUGCAAGGAAGACGGCCCUAUGGGUUGUAAACUGCUUUUGUAUGGGAGCAAUAAGGGCUACGUGUAGUCCGAUGAGAGUACCAUACGAAUAAGCACCGGCUAACUCCGUGCCAGCCGCCGC
This 501-nucleotide ribosomal RNA is filed under the name uncultured bacterium. RNAcentral's name for it is "bacterial SSU rRNA". It matches the Rfam family "Bacterial small subunit ribosomal RNA", at positions 24 to 518 of the family's 1533-position model. The record is from RNAcentral.